GCCUACGGGAGGCAGCAGUGAGGAAUAUUGGUCAAUGGUCGGGAAACUGAACCAGCCAAGCCGCGUGAGGGAGGAAGGUACAGAGUAUCGUAAACCUCUUUUGUCAGGGAACAAAGGCGGGGACGUGUCCCCGGAUGAGUGUACCUGAAGAAAAAGCAUCGGCUAACUCCGUGCCAGCAGCCGCGGUAAUACGGAGGAUGCGAGCGUUAUCCGGAUUUAUUGGGUUUAAAGGGUGCGCAGGCGGUCUGUUAAGUCAGCGGUCAAAGCCCGGGGCUCAACCCCGGCCCGCCGUUGAAACUGGCAGC
This 305-nucleotide ribosomal RNA is filed under the name uncultured bacterium. RNAcentral describes it as "bacterial SSU rRNA". It matches the Rfam family "Bacterial small subunit ribosomal RNA", at positions 337 to 640 of the family's 1533-position model. The record is from RNAcentral.